RNAcentral lists this long non-coding RNA (250 nucleotides) under Mus spicilegus (steppe mouse). RNAcentral's name for it is "lncRNA (ENSMSIG00000019102.1)". The record is from RNAcentral. Lineage: Eukaryota; Metazoa; Chordata; Mammalia; Rodentia; Muridae.
GCAUAUUCUUAAAAGAAGAGCCAAGAAACUAUUAUGAUAAAAACCAGUGGUAUGAUACAGAUGUCCUGCAGAAUCUAAUUAGAGAAGGAUAUAAAUGGAUUGGACAAAGAAGUCACACCAUGCCUGUGUGAAACAGAACUCUGUGCUCCUUACUCUUUGGUGUUCAUUGUGCUGUGGUGACUUCCUUUAGAAUCAAUCCACUUGUGAAACACCACUCGGCCCAGUCAAUAGAAAGAGGAAUAUACCUGGG